Molecule: transfer-messenger RNA, 394 nt
Filed under: Candidatus Doudnaibacteriota bacterium
Lineage: Bacteria; Candidatus Doudnaibacteriota
Description: Candidatus Doudnabacteria bacterium transfer-messenger RNA
Rfam family: transfer-messenger RNA
About the family: Bacterial tmRNA, also known as 10Sa RNA or SsrA, is named for its dual tRNA and mRNA-like properties. Its role is to liberate the mRNA from a stalled ribosome. To accomplish this part of the tmRNA is used as a reading frame that ends in a translation stop signal.
Source: RNAcentral
GGGGAUGACGGAUUUUGACAGGACUUUAAAAUUUUCCUAUAUGCAAGACGAGCUAGCCUCGAGUAACUCGCAAAUCCACUCAGGCAUCAUAAAUGCUUACAACGCAUCUUGGGAAAAAGUAAAAGCCGCUUUCGCGACUGCUACUUUAUCUCCCGUAUUAGCUUAAUUUUAAGUUAAUGCCUUGCCCCGCGGCCCGCCCCGGCCGCGGAUAAGCAAGUUCAUUGGGGCUGCCGUUUAUCGGUUUGGUUUGCGCCGGUGAGCCUAAGCUAAGUAAACCAACUUUAAUGAUAUCUGGUCAGCUCCUGUCAUUAAAGCUUAUGAGCUGACUAAUCUUGUGAACAAUGGGGAAGUUAAGAAGCCCUGGACCCGGGUUUAACUCCCGGCAUCUCCACCA